GAAAAUGAACGAAAAAUGCUGAAUCCGGAGACUGGAUGUUAUGCUGAGUCUGUUCGCGCGUGGGAUUGGACGGCCACGAGCAGCGCGCGCGUCCCGGAGUCCUGGCCGACGUGAACGCUAAGCCUGUAAGCUUCGCCCUGGCCUUUUCGCGCAUCAUGGUACCAUUACCCGGAGGAGGCUUGGAGGCCACCGCCAAGACGGUAUUCCUCGAUACCACCGUCGCCGUGAAGACUUCGGAACGCAUAAACUAGAUUGUAGCAAAAGUAGCACUGUAUUCCUCCGAUGAACCCCCCGUCAUAAUGUAAAUAAAAGCGUACAUCCCUCUCACCCUUCACCCCCACAUCUAUGGUAAUCUUGGAAUAUCGCCCAGCCUCCCAAAUACUGCCACACCACAUGAUAAGUAACAAAAUCAUCAGUUAUUAAUAGCACAUGUUAUAUAUAGUAUACAUAUAUAUAUCAUAAAUAAAAUAACUUUAGGUAUAUCAGUAGGAAGAGAAUAAUGAAUAUACAUAUUGGUGAAUAUCGAAAGUGCACAAAUUAUCGUUGAUCAAAUCAAAUAUUAUUCAUAUAAUAGCAUUCAUAUUGUAUACAUAUUGUACAUUUCAAUUACCCUCGACGAACCUUCUUCAAGUUCAACUUCGUGGCAUAAAAAAAAAAACAAACAAAAAAGAUAUCGACAAGCACGAACAAGUUAUAUUCCCAAAGUACCUAAUUUGUAUAUACUUAUAUAAUACAUAUUAAUGAUUAUCUAUACAUUAGAUAUAAACACAUAAACACAUAAUAGUUGCAAAUAAUUCUUGAAAGAUUAUCAUUUUGAUUUUGAUAAACAUUAC
This is a long non-coding RNA of Diprion similis, 833 nucleotides long. RefSeq lists it as uncharacterized. The transcript has 3 exons. NCBI's taxonomy places the organism in Eukaryota, Metazoa, Arthropoda, Insecta, Hymenoptera, Diprionidae. The record is from RefSeq and is a predicted model, not a curated record.